Molecule: ribosomal RNA, 507 nt
Filed under: uncultured bacterium
Lineage: Bacteria
Description: partial 16S ribosomal RNA
Source: RNAcentral
GGAGUUAGCCGGUGCUUCUUCUGUGAGUGAUGUCCUUCCUGCCGGCUAUUAACCCGCAGGCCUUCUUCCUCACUGAAAGUGCUUUACAACCCGAAGGCCUUCUUCACACACGCGGCAUGGCUGGAUCAGGGUUGCCCCCAUUGUCCAAUAUUCCCCACUGCUGCCUCCCGUAGGAGUCUGGGCCGUGUCUCAGUCCCAGUGUGGCUGAUCAUCCUCUCAGACCAGCUACGGAUCGUCGCCUUGGUGAGCCGUUACCUCACCAACCAGCUAAUCCGACAUAGGCUCAUCCGAUAGCGCGAGGCCCGAAGGUCCCCCGCUUUCCCCCGUAGGGCGUAUGCGGUAUUAGCCUGGGUUUCCCCAGGUUAUCCCCCACUACCGGGCAGAUUCCUAUGCAUUACUCACCCGUCCGACGCUCGCCACCAGGGAGCAAGCUCCCCGUGCUGCCGCUCGACUUGCAUGUGUUAGGCCUGCCGCCAGCGUUCAAUCUGAACCAAGAUCAAAUUCUGA